RNAcentral lists this ribosomal RNA (497 nucleotides) under uncultured bacterium. RNAcentral describes it as "partial 16S ribosomal RNA". It matches the Rfam family "Bacterial small subunit ribosomal RNA", at positions 28 to 507 of the family's 1533-position model. The record is from RNAcentral.
GAUGAACGCUGGCGGCGUGCCUAAUACAUGCAAGUCGAGCGAACAGACGAGGAGCUUGCUCCUCUGACGUUAGCGGCGGACGGGUGAGUAACACGUGGAUAACCUACCUAUAAGACUGGGAUAACUUCGGGAAACCGGAGCUAAUACCGGAUAACAUGUUGAACCGCAUGGUUCAACAGUGAAAGACGGUUUUGCUGUCACUUAUAGAUGGAUCCGCGUCGCAUUAGCUAGUUGGUAAGGUAACGGCUUACCAAGGCAACGAUGCGUAGCCGACCUGAGAGGGUGAUCGGCCACACUGGAACUGAGACACGGUCCAGACUCCUACGGGAGGCAGCAGUAGGGAAUCUUCCGCAAUGGGCGAAAGCCUGACGGAGCAACGCCGCGUGAGUGAAGAAGGUCUUCGGAUCGUAAAACUCUGUUAUUAGGGAAGAACAAAUGUGUAAGUAACUAUGCACGUCUUGACGGUUCCUAAUCAGAAAGCCACGGCUAACUACGUG